UACAGCGGGGGCGAGCGUUGUUCGGAAUUACUGGGCGUAAAGGGCGCGUAGGCGGCCCGCUAAGUCGAACGUGAAAUCCCCAGGCUCAACCUGGGAACUGCGUCCGAUACUGGCAGGCUUGAAUCCGGGAGAGGGAUGUGGGAUUCCAGGUGUAGCGGUGAAAUGCGUAGAUAUCUGGAGGAACACCGGUGGCGAAGGCGGCAUCCUGGACCGGUAUUGACGCUGAGGCGCGAAAGCUAGGGGAGCAAACGGG
Molecule: ribosomal RNA, 253 nt
Filed under: uncultured bacterium
Lineage: Bacteria
Description: partial 16S ribosomal RNA
Rfam family: Bacterial small subunit ribosomal RNA
Source: RNAcentral